Molecule: ribosomal RNA, 171 nt
Filed under: uncultured fungus
Lineage: Eukaryota; Fungi
Description: partial 18S rRNA
Rfam family: Eukaryotic small subunit ribosomal RNA
Source: RNAcentral
UCUGUGAUGCCCUUARAUGUUUUGGSCCSCACGCGCGUUNCACUGCAGAACCCAANNAGUUAUUUCCUUGUCCGGAAGGUCUGGGUAAUCUUGUGAAACUUUGUCGUGCUGGGGAUAGAGCAUGCAAUUAUUGCUCUCAACGAGGAAUUCCUAGUAAGCGGAGUCAUCAGG